Ctenopharyngodon idella (grass carp) is the source of this 2024-nucleotide long non-coding RNA. RefSeq lists it as uncharacterized. NCBI's taxonomy places the organism in Eukaryota, Metazoa, Chordata, Actinopteri, Cypriniformes, Xenocyprididae. The record is from RefSeq and is a predicted model, not a curated record. The transcript has 2 exons.
GUUUUUUUCCCCCCAGCCAUUUAACUUGUAUACAUUCUGUAGCGUGUAAAGCUGCAUGAGAUUUGGUAAGCUCUUCUCUGUUUGUUUAGGUUUCUUAUCUGAUGUAGACUGCUCAAACUUGCAUCAGAGCUUGCAUUUAAUUCAAUGGAAGUUUAAAACCAACCUUGUGUGGAAAUUUUGCUGUUGGUACUUUAUAUAAAUAGGCCACACGAGAGACUGUUUAUGUGCUGUUAUUAGAGGUCUGCUAGAACAGUGAAGUUUAUGUUGGGUUUGUAAAAUAAGAAAAAUAAAUUAAGAAAAAUAAGCUUAAGAAAAUAUUUAGUGCUUAAAUUUGUACAUUUCUACUGCAAAAUAAUGGCAGGAAAACUUAUUUCUAAUGAGUUGACCAUGUGGGCACCACACAAAAACACGCAGCAGUCCGACUGACAGAGAAAUGACUUAUGUGACCAGUGUAGCCCUAUUCUUGAAAUAAAUAACUCCUAUAAAAUGGUUCUUUGUAGUGAAUCAAAAACAAACAGCACAACCAUUGUAACCUAAUUCCCACCAAAAAUGACUCAUUUGAGAUGUUUUUUUUGUUUGUUUGUUUUUCAAGUGAAUCAAAAACAUGCAGUAUCACCAGUGUAGCCUGGCUGAUUCCACAAAAAGAUGACUCUUUUGAGCCAGUGCUUUUUAGUGAAUCAAAAACACAGCAUGACCAGUUUGUGAAUCAGGCUAGACUAUAUGUUUUCAAUUCAUCAAAAAUAAUUGAUUCAUUAGAAUCAUUUGUUGGGAAUUAGGAUACACAAAUGACUGUGAUCCGGUUCUUUUUGGUAAAUCAAAAACACCUGUGACCAAUGUAGCCCGAUUUCUGAAACAAACUACUUUAAUAAGAUGAUUUUUUUUUUUUGUUUUUUUGGUGAUUUAGAAACAAACAACACAACCAGUGUUGCCCUAUUCCUGAAACAAAUUACUCUUAUGAGCUGGAUCUUUUUGGUAAAUCAAAAACAGCGUGACCAGCAUAGUCUGAUUUACAAACAACAUGACUAGCAGUGCGAUUUACGUAAUCCGAUUACUUUUUUCAAUUAACUAGUAAAGUAAUGCAUUACUUUUUCAAAUAAAUAACACAAGUUACUUUGUUUUACAAUUUUUUUUUUUUUUUUUUCAUUGACACCUCUCCUGUCCCCAUGUUGAAAGAAAUCAGGAGUAAAGUGGCAUUGUGUGAGCUAGACUAAAUGUGAGAAUGCUUUUACUCAUCUCAUUUGCACAAAGAUUCAGAUUCAGUAUUCUUCAGAAUAAACAAAAACAGUGAAAUACAAACUCAGUAUAUUACGCAAACCUGCAGUAAUGAAAUGUUAAAUAACACAAAUAUACUUUAUGUAUUUAAUCUCACUUUAUUAUCCAAAGUCUUUGCUGCUGACAUUCGAUGAUCCAAUUCAACCAUACUAAGCAAAAAUGACUUUUUAGAUAAACAUUACAUUUAUAGAGUACCUCAGGGAUGACAUGUUUUUGUAGGCAAAACCCGAAAGCGAGUUAGCAUUUUAGGACUUCCGGUUCCAUCGCCCUAAAGUCUAUGGGUUUUUUUAAUGGGUUUUUGCUAAAUCGCCUGAAAUAAGGUCUGUGGUUAACAAAGCCUCUAAAUAUUUUCACGUUUUGAUCUAUGACAUAAAACACACCAGUUAUAACCCACUUGUGAUUUUUAUUUAAACCUUUAUUGUGUCUUAAAAACGGCUGUUGCUAACAAGUUGCUAAAAGGGACUACUUCCUUUGGCGGGGACUUUAGACGUCAUCAUGACAAACAGGAUAUUUGGACAGCAUUGCUCAUGAAAAAGUGGAUAAGUAUUCAUACACAGCGCAGAUCAUAAUCAGCGAGCAUGUUUUUAAAUAAAGUUUGAGGAAGCUGGGUGGUGGUGACGUUGAUCCACGACCAUGGUUUGUUUGAGCUGCGCCCUCUACUGUACAGGUGUGAAUUUGCAUGAGGCUUGUUCAUUUCACUUUUGGUGUGAAAGGGCCUUUACAUUUGCCAAAGAUAGAACUUUUUUUUUUUU